GAGUGCGUAAUAGCUCACUGGUCGAGUGACCCUGCGCCGAAAAUUCAACGGGGCUGAAAUCAUAUACCGAAGCUUGGGAACUGGUGGAUUAGUAGUUAGGGGUUAGAUGUUAGGAAGGGCAAGGGAAAUGAUCGAGAAUUACCGGCAGUUAACCGUGUAUCAAAAAUCAUAUGACCUUGCCAGGAAGGUUCAUGAACUUACAGCAGCAUUUCCGAAAUUUGAGCAGUAUGAGCUGGGAAGCCAGAUGCGGCGAGCAUCGAGUUCGAUUCCGGCAAAUAUUGCGGAAGGUUUCGGAAAGAACGAUUCCAGAGCGGAAUUUGUAAGAUUUCUGCGGAUGGGAAUGGGUUCGGCAAACGAGAUGCUGGUAUGGCUGGAUUUUGGGAAAGAUUACGGCUAUAUCACGGCAGAAGACCACGACGCGCUUCAAAAGGCGUACGGGUAUCUUGCCAGACAGCUGAACCGUCUGAUUGGGAAGCUGUAAGCGAAAAAAUUCCAUUCUAAUCCUCUAACAACUAACUACUAACCCACCAAUUGGUAGGAGAGCGUUGAAUGAGAGCCGAAGCGGGAGCGGAAGCGUCCGUGGAUUUCAUUCAAGAGAGAAUGCCGGAAUGAGUAGCGCGAAAUGUGUGAGAAUCACAUUGGCCGGAAGUCUAAGGUUUCUGGAGGAAGGUUCGUCCGCUCCAGGUAAGUCGGGAGCUAAGGUGAGGCCGAAAGGCGUAGCCGAUGCACAUACGGUGGAAAUUCCGUAACCGCGGAAGGAUUUAAGCAGGGAGACACCUUGAAAGGGCACAACCCGGGCGCUGGUAGACCCGGGCGUAAGGGACCGAAAUUAGAGUAGGGAAGUGUGCUUGGACGAGGGCGGGAAAAGCCCUGAGGGAGAUCCGACGCGCCCGUACCGCAAACCGACACAGGUAGACGGGAAGAAGAUUCCAAGGCCAACGGGAGAAGGGUAGUUAAGGAACUCGGCAAAUUGACCCCGUAACUUAGGGAAAAGGGGUGCCACAGCGAUGUGGCCGCAGAGAAUAGGCCCAGGCGACUGUUUAGCAAAAACACAGGUUUCUGCCAAAUCGAAAGAUGACGUAUAGGAGCUGACACCUGCCCGGUGCUGGAAGGUUAAGAGGAGAUGUGCAAGCAUUGAAUUGAAGCCCCAGUAAACGGCGGCCGUAACUAUAACGGUCCUAAGGUAGCGAAAUUCCUUGUCGGGUAAGUUCCGACCCGCACGAAAGGUGUAACGAUCUGGGCGCUGUCUCGACUACCCGCCCGGCGAAAUUGUAGUACCGGUGAAGAUGCCGGUUUCCCGCGACAAGACGGAAAGACCCCAUGGAGCUUUACUGUAGUUUAAUAUUGGGUUUCGGCAAUUUAUGUACAGGAUAGGUGGGAGGCUGAGAAGCCGUGGCGCCAGCCGCGGCGGAGCUGCCCUUGGGAUACCACCCUUAAGUUGCUGAAAUUCUAACCUGCGGCCGUGACCCGGCCGGGGGACAUUGUUAGACGGGCAGUUUGACUGGGGCGGUCGCCUCCAAAAAGGUAACGGAGGCGCUCAAAGGUCGGCUCGGCACGGACGGAAACCGUGCGGGAGAGUGUAAACGCACAAGCCGGCCCGACUGCGAGGACGACGGUCCGAGCAGAAACGAAAGUUGGAGUUAGUGAUCCGGCG
Molecule: ribosomal RNA, 1654 nt
Filed under: fermentation metagenome
Description: bacterial LSU rRNA
Rfam family: Bacterial large subunit ribosomal RNA
Source: RNAcentral